CAUGAAUUUUGGGGAAUAUUGUCCCUUGUAGAACAUAUAUUGCACUCGCAAACUCGUGCAAUAUAAAAUUCUUUUGGGGACAAUAUUCCCCAAUAUUCAUGCAAUAACCCAAUAAUACCAUGAUAAAUAACAUUGUUUUCAAACUUCUGAACAUAAACUUGGAAAUUUAUAAACAUGCUUAACAUUGAUGACACAGUGUAGAUUUCCUUGUCAUUGAAGUUACACUAUAUGGUAGUUCAAGGAAGGAAAUGCCUGGUUAAAUGUACAAGGAGCAUACAAGUAACUUGCAAUAUUAUUAGGAUUAGGUAAACGCAACAUUAUAAGCACUUCAUUUGUGGUAAUUUGUGGACAGAGUUUUUUUGAAUCAAUGUGAUCUUUUCACUUUCACAUUAUUGAGACAUAGUCAAAUUUUUCAAUGUUUUUUUUUUU
RNAcentral lists this long non-coding RNA (429 nucleotides) under Mytilus galloprovincialis (Mediterranean mussel). The record is from RNAcentral. Lineage: Eukaryota; Metazoa; Mollusca; Bivalvia; Mytilida; Mytilidae.